This 273-nucleotide ribosomal RNA is filed under the name uncultured bacterium. RNAcentral describes it as "partial 16S ribosomal RNA". It matches the Rfam family "Bacterial small subunit ribosomal RNA", at positions 82 to 354 of the family's 1533-position model. The record is from RNAcentral.
CUUCCGCCGGCGACCGGCGCACGGGUGAGUAACACGUAUGCAACCUGCCCCUGUCAGGGGGACAACCCGCCGAAAGGCGGGCUGAACCCGCGUACAUGCCACCGGGGCAUCCCGGAGGCAGGAAAGGCUUCGGCCGGACAGGGAUGGGCAUGCGGCGCAUUAGGCAGUAGGCGGGGUAACGGCCCACCUAACCGACGAUGCGUAGGGGUUCUGAGAGGAAGGUCCCCCACACUGGUACUGAGACACGGACCAGACUCCUACGGGAGGCAGCAG